AUUGAACGCUGGCGGCAGGCCUAACACAUGCAAGUCGAGCGGAUGAAGGGAGCUUGCUCCUGGAUUCAGCGGCGGACGGGUGAGUAAUGCCUAGGAAUCUGCCUGGUAGUGGGGGAUAACGUCCGGAAACGGGCGCUAAUACCGCAUACGUCCUGAGGGAGAAAGUGGGGGAUCUUCGGACCUCACGCUAUCAGAUGAGCCUAGGUCGGAUUAGCUAGUUGGUGGGGUAAGGGCCUACCAAGGCGACGAUCCGUAACUGGUCUGAGAGGAUGAUCAGUCACACUGGAACUGAGACACGGUCCAGACUCCUACGGGAGGCAGCAGUGGGGAAUAUUGGACAAUGGGCGAAAGCCUGAUCCAGCCAUGCCGCGUGUGUGAAGAAGGUCUUCGGAUUGUAAAGCACUUUAAGUUGGGAGGAAGGGCAGUAAGUUAAUACCUUGCUGUUUUGACGUUACCAACAGAAUAAGCAUCGGCUAACUUCGUG
This 484-nucleotide ribosomal RNA is filed under the name uncultured bacterium. RNAcentral's name for it is "partial 16S ribosomal RNA". It matches the Rfam family "Bacterial small subunit ribosomal RNA", at positions 30 to 507 of the family's 1533-position model. The record is from RNAcentral.